GGUGGGGUAAUGGCCUACCCAGCCGACGAUCCAUAGCUGGUUUGAGAGGAUGAUCAGCCACACUGGGACUGAGACACGGCCCAGACUCCUACGGGAGGCAGCAGUGGGGAAUCUUAGACAAUGGGGGAAACCCUGAUCUAGCCAUGCCGCGUGAUCGAUGAAGGCCUUAGGGUUGUAAAGAUCUUUCAGGUGGGAAGAUAAUGACUGUACCACCAGAAGAAGCCCCGGCUAACUCCGUGCCAGCAGCCGCGGUAAUACGGAGGGGGCUAGCGUUGUUCGGAAUUACUGGGCGUAAAGCGCACGUAGGCGGAUCAGAAAGUCAGAGGUGAAAUCCCAGGGCUCAACCUUGGAACUGCCUUUGAAACUCCUGAUCUUGAGGUCGAGAGAGGUGAGUGGACUUCCGAGUGUAGAGGUGACAUUCGUAGAUAUUCGGAGGAACACCAGUGGCGAAGGCGGCUCACUGGCUCGAUACUGACGCUGAGGUGCGAAAGCGUGGGGAGCG
Molecule: ribosomal RNA, 502 nt
Filed under: Rhodobacter sp. UF1_Br_Chemostat
Lineage: Bacteria; Pseudomonadati; Pseudomonadota; Alphaproteobacteria; Rhodobacterales
Description: bacterial SSU rRNA
Rfam family: Bacterial small subunit ribosomal RNA
Source: RNAcentral